This 69-nucleotide transfer RNA is filed under the name Ictidomys tridecemlineatus (thirteen-lined ground squirrel). RNAcentral's name for it is "Spermophilus tridecemlineatus (thirteen-lined ground squirrel) tRNA". It matches the Rfam family "tRNA". From Rfam's summary of the family: Transfer RNA (tRNA) molecules are approximately 80 nucleotides in length. Their secondary structure includes four short double-helical elements and three loops (D, anti-codon, and T loops). The record is from Rfam by way of RNAcentral. Lineage: Eukaryota; Metazoa; Chordata; Mammalia; Rodentia; Sciuridae.
GGGGUUGUGGCUCAGCAGUAGAGUGCUCACCUCCCAUGUGUGAGGGCCUGGGUUCCAUCUCCAGCACCA